This 253-nucleotide ribosomal RNA is filed under the name uncultured bacterium. Its description in RNAcentral is "partial 16S ribosomal RNA". It matches the Rfam family "Bacterial small subunit ribosomal RNA", at positions 524 to 776 of the family's 1533-position model. The record is from RNAcentral.
UACGGAGGGUGCGAGCGUUGUCCGGAAUCACUGGGCGUAAAGGGCGCGUAGGCGGCUUGGUAAGUAGGGGGUGAAAUCCUGCGGCUUAACCGCAGGGCUGCCUUCUAAACUGCCAGGCUUGAGCACAGUAGAGGCAGGUGGAAUUCCUGGUGUAGCGGUGAAAUGCGCAGAUAUCAGGAGGAACACCGGUGGCGAAGGCGGGUCUCUGGGCCGAUAUUGACGCUGAGGAGCGAAAGCGUGGGGAGCAAACAGG